Non-coding RNA from Microcebus murinus (gray mouse lemur), 793 nucleotides. NCBI's taxonomy places the organism in Eukaryota, Metazoa, Chordata, Mammalia, Primates, Cheirogaleidae. The record is from RefSeq and is a predicted model, not a curated record.
AAAAAAUUCACAAAUAUGCAAAAAGCAAAAGUUGAAUUUGCCACAGGCCAAGUACUAUGUUGAAUCUGGAAAAGUGGAAUGAUGUGAUGUUGUCAACACCAAUGUCUCUAAGGAGCAGAACACCGACACGGGAUCUCUGCGGACCUAGGGCAGCGUGGGUCUGCUCUGGAGUCUGGCCUUGGGGAAUACGGCUCCGUGGAGGGAAGGAGUCAAGCAUUUAUCCCGACACCCCUGUGGAUUGUAAAUCAGAGUGAACAAACUGUUGAUGGGAGAAGUUCUUCUUUAUAUAAUGAAAGAGUCAAAAAGUUAAUUAGAAAUCACCAUGUUGCCUGCCAAUACUACUGAAAUAACAGGUGCAGGUGAUGAUAAAGACUGGCCUCCAAAGCCAGGAGGUGCCCAGGUGGUGGGGAACUUUCUGCUUGUUGGGUUGACAACACCAGAACCACUAAUCAAUCGUGACAUAUCUGAGAGUCAAACAAACAAGGAGUCCCUUCCCCAGGAGAUGCAGCAGAAAAUACACAGCCUCAUCCCUGGAGCACUUUUGUCCCCAACCAAACUGUACUUGAACAUUGUAUCAACAAAGCCCUGGGUCUUAUUACCAUUGCUUUACAGGAAACAUGGAGCAUAUUAAACAAUCAGCAAGAAUUUAAUCAACCAAAUCCAAAUGGGGGAAAUUCUACAGGAAAAUUAUCAGAUGUCUUUAAUGAAUAAAUGGCAGGAAUAAAAAGGAGAGGAAAGGAAAGUGGUUAAAGACUAAAGGAGUCUUUAGACUUAUUAAUCAAAUGCAUUUUCU